UGGAAGACUUGCCUUAAAUCCCAAACCCCAAGUCCCAUAAAUACCUUGCCUAUUCUUUAAACUCCAAAUCACUGCUACUAAUCCUUCAUCUCCCCACUAAGGUAGUGUUCUCUAUACUGCAGUAAGCAAUUAGCCUAGGUCUUUCUUAUCAAUGGAUUAUUUUUGUGUUAUUUUGAGGGGUUGAACAUUCAGUAAUAUUUGGCAGUGGUAGGGCAUGUACCCUGGCUGGCUGUGUCUCUGGGGCAGGUUCCUGGAAGACCUGCUGGGUCUGGCAAUCUUCAGACAGUGGGGCAGUUAUGAGAAGCUCCCAAGAGGGAGGAGAGUUGGAGUAGCUGGGUUCGGUGGGUGGGGUAGAGUGCUGGGGUGGGGGUGCUCUGUUCACUGCCUGGUGUAGAAGAGUUCCACAAUUUUAACAAUUGGUAGAAACAUUCUAUUUCUGUACUGGUGGGUGCCACCUAAUAUCAGGCCUUGAUGAAAUGAUCAGGAAAACCAGAUGCAAGGAAAAGAUGACCAAUGGAUGCCGGUGUGGCUAGAUCCUGAAGCCUUUCCAACUUUUCCAAGCCUCCAUGGAACUUAAAUAUAGCCCUAGGGUAAGAACUGCAUUCUCCAAGAUAUUUACUCCUCUGCUGGGAUCAGUGUGUCUACAUGGAGCUAAGGUCAGUGUCCCUGCUGCAAGCUGUGUCCACCACACCAGACUGCUGUCUCAUUUAGUUCAGCCCAUGAUUAUAUACCGUCUAAAAUUGGUAACAUUUUAA
RNAcentral lists this long non-coding RNA (755 nucleotides) under Chinchilla lanigera (long-tailed chinchilla). Its description in RNAcentral is "lncRNA (ENSCLAG00000026036.1)". The record is from RNAcentral. Lineage: Eukaryota; Metazoa; Chordata; Mammalia; Rodentia; Chinchillidae.